UGCAAGUCGAACGGUAACUUUUGGUGCUUGCACUAAAAGACGAGCGGCGGACGGGUGCGUAACGCGUAUGCAAUCUACCUUUUACUAGGGUAUAGCCCAGAGAAAUUUGGAUUAAUCCCCUAUAAUAUCAUGAAAUCGCAUGGUUUUAUGAUUAAAGCUUCGGUGGUAAAAGAUGGGCACGCGUCCUAUUAGUUUGUAGGUGAGGUAACGGCUCACCUAGACUACGAUAGGUAGGGGCCCUGAGAGGGGGAUCCCCCACACUGGUACUGAGACACGGACCAGACUCCUACGGGAGGCAGCAGUGAGGAAUAUUGGACAAUGGACGAAAGUCUGAUCCAGCUAUGCCGCGUGCAGGAUGACAGCCCUACGGGUUGUAAACUGCUUUUAUACAGGAAGAAACACCCCGACGUGUCGGGGCCUGACGGUACUGUAAGAAUAAGGAUCGGCUAACUCCGUGCCAGCAGCCGCGGUAAUACGGAGGAUCCAAGCGUUAUCCGGAAUUAUUGGG
RNAcentral lists this ribosomal RNA (508 nucleotides) under uncultured marine bacterium. RNAcentral's name for it is "bacterial SSU rRNA". It matches the Rfam family "Bacterial small subunit ribosomal RNA", at positions 56 to 558 of the family's 1533-position model. The record is from RNAcentral.